GUCUACAGCCGUACCACCCUGAACGCGCCCGAUCUCGUCUGAUCUUGGAAGCUAAGCAAGGCUGGGCCUGGUUAGUACUUGGAUGGGAGAAAGGUGGCCCAAGGGCAUGGAGACA
Ribosomal RNA from Panthera pardus (leopard), 115 nucleotides. Lineage: Eukaryota; Metazoa; Chordata; Mammalia; Carnivora; Felidae. The record is from Ensembl.